CCACCAGUACCUCUGCAACUCCCACAACCUCCGCCGUCGUCACCAACACGUCCUCCACUAUUAGAAGGAGAUCUAUCACUAUGAUUGUGUUCUUCAUCUUCUUAGGUUAAAGAUUGAUUCUCCAGAUUCAAAGAUUGAUAAUUUUGUUUUUGAUUUUCAAUUUCUUAAUUUCGAGUUGAAGAUUCAGAGAGAUCUUUGCAUCACCUUCUUCCUCGUUGCCACUACUAUUCCAGCAUCACCCAAAAAAUAAUUUCUUUCUCUUUAUUUUCGAAAAUUACUAGUAAUAUAUUUACUUGAUUUGGGGCAAGAGUAAAAUUCUCAUAUACACGGUGAGAAGAGGAAAAAAGGGAGCGACUGAGAGAAAGAAAGAUCACUAGAAGAAGAACAGUUCAAAGGGAGAUUUUUGCAGAGAAGAAUAGUAGGGGAUCGAUUUAUGUCGUCUAGUUCUUCAAUUGAUCUGUUGUUGGUUUCAUCUCUGGUCAGAAUCUCCUUCCUCUGUUGUUGUAUUUGCAUGCAAUUCUGCUCUCUUCAACCAACGAAAAUAGAGUUUCAAACGGCUUCGAUGCGUUUGAGAUCAAUACGAGAAGAAUAGUAGGGAUCGAUUUAUGUCGUCUAGUUCUUCAAUUGAUAUGUUGUUGAUUUCAUCUCUGGUCAUAAUCUCCUUCCUUUGUUGUUGUAUUUGCAUGCAAUUCUGCAUCUUGUUGUAGCUCUUGUAUUGUCGUCUACUGCCUGAAAAAUGUAGAUGAGUAAUAAUGUUGAGUAGUUCAAUGAGUUGUAUUUGGAAUUUGAGCAAUCACGGAGGCAUUGUGGACUGUUGAGAGUGGAAUUGAAUAACAUGUUGUUAAGAUUCUAGAGUAGUUGUGUGUUAACAUGAACAAGACAUCGUCAUCUUGUUCUCGGCAUGAUCUUUGUGGUAAUUACAUGUUUUAACAUUUAGGUUUCUAGGAAUUUGAAAUUACAUUGAGCAUUAGAGGUAACAUCCUUAUUAUCCUGAGGUUUGGUUGUUAUUUGGAUGUGUCAAUUACCAGAAAUGCCUUUUGUGUAUCGGAAUCUGCCUCUUGUUGUAGCUCUUGUAUGUCAGUUACCUCCUUGAAAAAUUUAGACAUUGCUGAAAAAGGGUUGUAGGUUGUGGUGUAUUUUGAAUUUGAGCAAUUACAGAUGCAAUGUGGAGAGCUGUUGAGAGUGGAACUGGAAACAUGUUGUUAGGAUUCCAGAGUAUUGUGUGUUAAAGUGAAGAAUACAACACCAUUUUUGUUAUUGGCAUGAAUUUUGGGGUAGUUACAUGUUUUAACAUUUUAGGCGAUUUUGUUGUAAUGUAGUUACGGAGAAUAAUGGAAAUUUGGGUUGCAUUUUGAUUUUGAUUCUAAAAUGUAGUUACCGAGAAUACACUAGUGGAAAAUGAGAUUUCCGUGACCCACAUCGGACCCUCAAUGACUGUAGUUAGACCGUUGACCAAAUAUAGCGGUCUCCAAUGUGAUAAAAACAUGGAAAAUUGUGAGAUGACUAAUAACGGUCUCUGAAUAAUUACUAUUGACUAUUGUUCCUUAAAUCUACUGCCGAUCCCGCGACCCACAAAAAACCGAUUUAUAUUUGAUACUUUUUUAUUACUUGAUCUAAGAUAUAAAUAUCUCUUUCUCUCUCUCCCAUUUCUCAUCUCACUUUCUCUUUCUUCUUCUACGCUCGGUCUCCUGCGCCUCUCUCAUCCAUCUUCCUCAUCCUCACAACCAAAUCAAAACUGCAAAAAAAAAAUCAAUUAAAUCAUUGCUCUUAAACACAACCCCUUUCACCAUCUUCUUCAUCUCCUCCAAAAAAAUCAUCGAAUUUUCCAAUAAAACCUGGAACCACAAACGUAAGCAAAGAGGAAGAAAACCAUUGUUCUUGAACCAUCUUCUUCUUUUCAUCUUUGCGGUAAGAUAUGAAGAUGGAAGAAUAAUCCUGUUAAAAAUGGGCGUGGGUUUGGUUUCUUUGAAGGAUUUGGAUGCUUGGGUAUCCAUCAACAGCUGAAAUUAAUCACCAGUUUGGGUGUUGAAGAAGAUGGCGCUCCGGUUUGUACUACGAAAUCUGCCAGCAACUAGAGAUUUCUGUGUUGAGUAUUGUUCAAUUUAGUGGUGGUGGUCUUAGAGGUGACAAAUAACUUAGUCAUGUUUGAAUUUAGAAGAAGUAGAUAUAUAUGGUUAAUUCUAUGGUACUUUGAAAACUCGUAGCUUUUCUAAAAUAUCCCUAAUGUGUUUGCAAGGGUGUUAAUCGUUUUCAGAAAAUUGUCUCAGUUGUUGAAUUUAUAUGUCGAGAAUGUCAAUCUUUAUGGGUUUUGAUCUAUUUUGGAUGUUUAGUUCUUAUGGUUGAUUAGGUUUGGGUCGAACAUUCAAGAAUUGUUACGUGUCAUACGUUUUUGAUUUGAUCUUCUUAUUAUUUCUUAAAUUAAAGUGGUACUGCUAGUGUGAAUAUUUUCCAGACUUUGAUGGAACUUGGUUGUUCAGCUCUAGUAUGUAUUAUUUAGGUCCCAAAAACAAUCUAUAACAUGUGUGAAGCAGUUUAUGCUCAAAGACAAAGAUUUGAGGUUGGCGUUUUCUUUUUGUUUGUUUGUUUGUUUAUUUUCCGGCACGUGCUACUGUUUUAAUUAAGUUGAUUUUUCCGUUAAUGAAAUGUUUUGCUAUUUGUGUCCUUUGGACUUGCUUAUCUCUGGUUGAAUCUGUUGAGUUGUAGUUUUGUUUUUGACCCCUGGUUUUGAUUUACUUCAGAUUUUUAACUCUAUUAUGAAAUAUCUUGGGGUAAUAUUUGUUGUAUAAUAGUUUUCACUUCCUGCAAGGUUGGUUUUGAUGUCCGCUACAGCAGGGACUGCGAGAUACAGAGAUUACUUCAAGGACCUUGGUAGGGAUGAAAGGGUUGAUGUUCUUGCAAUUCCAACUUCCGGCCAGCAAACAAUUUUCCAAGAAAAAGUUUUAUAUCUUGAACAUGCAAUUAAAUCUAUUCCUUCUUGAUCUAUUAAAAAUGCUUUCACAUGCGCGGCCCCGUUAUUUUUACAAUUUUUGUAACUUCUGUCAAGAUAUGGCAGUAAGUGUUCAGCUCAUAUUGUUUUAAUCUUCUCAAUUGGGAUAUUUGCCUGAGUUCAUUGAGUUUUUAGUUGUGUUUUAGUUUGUUGAAGCAAAUAUUCAUGUCACACUUCCUAAUGUCUUGGUAAUUCUGUGACGGUGAUUGUAUCUUAUUGUUAACCAGGUUUCUGAACUUCUUGGGCUAAACUAAGAGUCCUUGUCUAGUACAUACUGUUCUGGCCCAAGCCCCGACUCGUCUGAUGCUGACAUCAAGCCUAAAGUGCACAAACUCAUUCAUGAUCUGGUGUUGCAUAUUCAUGAAAAUGAACCUGAUAUCGAGAAGAGUAUUCUGGUUUUCCUCCCAACAUACUAUUCACUGGAGCAGCAGUAUUUCCUUUUAAGCCCUUUGAGUUCUAUUUUCAAAGUGCACAUUCUGCAUAGCAGCAUUGAUACUGAACAAGCUUUAAAGACCAUGAAAAUUUGGAAGUCACAUCGUAAGGUUUGUAUUGUACUGCUUGUUUCUGUUGGUGGAUAUCAAUACCUACCUCGCGUUACUAGUCUUAUGUCAACCACACUUUAAUGGUUUCUGGAUAUAUAGUCAUUUUUUGAAACAAAAAGUCGUAUUUUUUAUAUUAAAAAAAUUAAACCUCUAGUAUAAAUUCUGGUUCCGCCACCGUCAAAACUUGUUGAGAUUUUAGUUCACAUCUCAGACCUAAGUUAGCUUCAUAAUACCUGAAGCAAUAUCGCCUGAGUUGCACAAACCCCAGGCUUUUGUUACUCCUUAUCAUCUGCUCUUUUUGUUUGACCUACUCCCCAGUCCUAGUGUCCUACUCCCUAAACAGUAUCAGAACAUAUAUGAAGUUAUUCAUUCCACAUGCAUGUGUCAAAUUUUUAUAAUUUGACGCUUCUCUGAAUUUGAAUUGUUCGAUUAUACACUACAUGUUAUUUUAGCUACCAACAUUGCAGAAUCAUCAGUUACCAUUCCUGGAGUGGCAUUUGUUGUUGAUUCUUGUCGAGUUUUACAAGUCUUCUGGGAUAAUAACAGGAAAAGGAUGCCGCUGAACUUUUAUGGGUAUCCAAGUCUCAAGUAAGAAGAAGAUGUAUUAUACCAUGUUUGAUAGGUUGCUAGCGAGCCUAACAACCUUUUUUGUUUUAAUCGACUCUAGGCUGAGCAGCGUAAAGGCAGGACAGGUCGACUCUGCCAGUUCGUCGUCCAUUUGGACAGGAUCAGUUGUUUGCAGAGUAUAUAGCCAGCUAUUUUGGUGGGGAUGAUGAGAGCAGUGUGCUAACUGGUAAGAAGGAAUCCAUGGGUAACCUUUGUGCAUAUCAGUUCUGGCAGCGUGCUUUUAAGGACAAGCAUCGUGUAGAGCGGCUGAAGCACCUUCUCAAGUUUGAUGAACCAAAUACUACUAAAAUACUCUUCCCUAAACUUGAAGAAGAGUGGUUUUCUUUCCACAAUCUUUUGCAGCCAUCCCUGCAUCAGGUUUCAGAAAUACUUCAUGUCUUGAUGGUCAUCUUUACCCCAGAUAGUAUUAUUAGUUAUUAAGUUGCAUAUGCUUCUACUGGAGGGCAGUUUGGAGUCCAGAUCAUUGAUUGAAUUCUGAACGAUGUUUUUUGUCGUAUGUGAACCAGGGACAAACACAUGGGUGCUCUACUUGAUAUCAAUCAUGAAGUAUUGUCUAAAUUCAUCGUCAUCGGAGGUGCUUAUCGUUUUAUUGUUCAAAAUGUUGUUGUUAGAACUUACUAGCUCAGGCAUGUAUUGUUAUGAACUCGGAAUUUCAUCCCUUUUUGUGUAGUUUGAAACCCAAUGGAUAAAAUGAAAGAAUGUUGAAUUCACAGUUUGAGUUUAAAUUUGAAGUAUCAUUCGAAUUUCAGUUUGUGUUCCACUUAAUUUGACUUGACAUUGAUGCAGUCAGAUUAUUUCAGAUUUAGCCAUUCAGGCAUUUCAGCAAAUCUGAAUCUAUAUUUUUUUUAUAUUAUAAUUUAAAUCUGAGACCCACUUCUAAUGGUCUGUACCUCGUUACCCCUAAAAUCGGUUGUAAAUUUUGAGACCCACGGCUCAGGGUCGUACGAGACAUCAACGCUUUAUCAGAGACCCCAACAGAUACGGUUGAAAGUAGUCGUAUAACACGUAUAUAUGACAUGUCCUGACGGUCGCGGAACUUCUUUUUCCACUAGUGAUAAUUCAUACAUGUUUCUGUGAGUAGGGAUACUUACGGAUUCGUAGUGAGACCUCAGCAUUUGAAGAGAUAUCAAGAGUAUGCUAAUAUCUUCAAGGAGGAAGAAGAUGAGCGAUCAGACAGAUGGAGUAACUUCUUGGAGAGGCAGGCAUUUUCUGCUCAACUACACUUAAAUAGCUUAUCAAAAGAUGGAGAUAACACAACAUCAGGUGCCGAAGCUUCAGAAUGGGAACCAACAACUUUGUUGGAGAACGGUGUGGAAGAAGAUGAUACGAAUAGUGGGUCAAGGUCGGGUUCAGAUGGUUUCAACUCAGAGACAAGUAUGCCACAACCAAUUAAGAAUGUAAAGACUCAUAAAAUACAAAUAUGGGGUGAAAUUAGACCAUCUCUUGGUACUAUCGAGCAAAUGAUGAGUGUUCGUGUUAUGAAAAGCAAGAAAACAUUAAAAAGUGAGCAGUAUGCAAAAACCGCAAAUCAGCUUGGCUUGACUGAAGAUGAUUCUGAAGAUGAGUUCUAUGAUCUAAAGAGAUCAGACUCAAUACAAGAUGCCAAUUUAUAAAAAUCCCCUACCACUACAACAAACUGACGUAUUUGUGACAUUAUGUUUGCAACAUUAUAGAAAAUUUCAUAAAUAUUAGUUAUGUGUGACGGUUUUAGUGUCACAAAUGUAUUGUGUUUGCUAAAUUCCCAGAAGUGUCGGAACAGGUUAUUUGCUACACCUGCCAUUG
Papaver somniferum (opium poppy) is the source of this 5937-nucleotide RNA transcript. It is a transcript of the gene named DExH-box ATP-dependent RNA helicase DExH8-like, with no coding region annotated. The transcript is spliced from 11 exons. The record is from RefSeq and is a predicted model, not a curated record. Lineage: Eukaryota; Viridiplantae; Streptophyta; Magnoliopsida; Ranunculales; Papaveraceae.